RNAcentral lists this long non-coding RNA (1329 nucleotides) under Homo sapiens (human). Its description in RNAcentral is "long independently transcribed non-coding RNA 2566 (LINC02566)". Lineage: Eukaryota; Metazoa; Chordata; Mammalia; Primates; Hominidae. The record is from RNAcentral.
CCCGCCAUGAUCGUGAGGCCUCCCCAGCGAUGUGGAACUGCUGGAGUGCAAUACCGUGAUCUCAGCUCAUUGCAACCACCGCCUCCCGGGUUCAAGUGAUUCCCGUGCCUCAGCCUCUUGAGUAGCUGGGACUACAGGCACGUGUCACCACGCCCGGCUGAUUUUUGUAUUUUUAGUAGAGACGGUGUUUCACCGUGUUAGCCAAGAUGGUCUCUAUCUCCUGACUUCGUGAGCCGCCUGCCUCGGCCUCCCAAAGUGCUGGGAUUACAGGUGUGAGCCACAGCGCAAGGACCAUAAUUUAUUACUUUUCAUGAUUCCUUGGAUCAGGAAUUUGGGCAAGACACAGCUGGAUAGUUCUUUGGCUUCACAGAUGGCGGCUGGAGUCAUUGUGUAGAUGCAUGUAUCUGAGAGCUUGGCUAGGGUUGAGACAUCCGUGAUGGCCUUUAGAUCUCAGAAAACUCUGCCCACGUGAACUCUAAGCAUUUACUAGUUUUUGCUGAACUUCCUUCCAGUAUGUUCACUGAGUCCCAAGAAGAAGCAAAAGAGAGCUGCUAAGUUUCUUAAGCCUGUGUUCGGAAGUCCCAGAACAUCAAUUUUAUCACGUUCUAUUGGUCAAAACACAUCACAAGUCCAGAGCAUAUUCAAGAGGAGGAAAAUACAGUUCAUCUCUGUUAUGAGCAGCUUGCAUGAACAAGAAUGGCAGUAAUAAUUGGUGACCAUAUUUGGGGACUCUUUACCAAAUCAGUUAAAAGAACACUAUGGCACCGGCCAUUUGAGCCCCUCUGCUCCCAAACCACCCCCUGAAAGCUGGAUAGAAAAUGGAAAACCUAUCAGGAGAACACUAUGAGUUUGGUAAUAACAAAGCUACAAGAUAUUACAGAGAGAGAAAGGAGGUCACUACCACCAACAGUGUGGUCCAGGAUGUUUGCUGGUGACAUCAUUGUGGAACAAGAGACAGCAGUGGAUGAUGAAAACAGCUAGACGAAAAUAUUCCAGAGUUGCAGAGAUUGGUUUGAUUUAUAUAUGAGAGCAUUCUCCUCUCUUUCUCUUACUCACAUUUUGGACCUCAGCACAGACUCUUGAAGAGACUUAAGGGUUUCCUUCCUCUAUUUGAAAGAUGAUCAGGGACACCUAGUGAUAUAAGCUGUUAAGGUGACCUUCCUAAGUUGCACCAGCUGCUAAUGUCCAAGGGACAUUUACAUUGCAUAAAAAUUUACUAUUUGCAUAUUCUUACUUCUUAAUUUAAAAGAAAAUUUAUUUAUGUAUUUUUAUAUGUAUACCUAUACAUAUGAAAAUUCUGAAAGAAUAUAUAAAAAAUUUUAAUGGUUA